RNAcentral lists this unclassified non-coding RNA (34 nucleotides) under Drepanolejeunea polyrhiza. Its description in RNAcentral is "trnL-trnF intergenic spacer". Lineage: Eukaryota; Viridiplantae; Streptophyta; Jungermanniopsida; Porellales; Lejeuneaceae. The record is from RNAcentral.
GGCAAAAUUUUGCUCCAAUUUUAUAAAUUCAAAU